CCGAUAGUUCCCGAUCACAUCGUCCUCCUUCGAGAAUGGCACAGAUGUUGCCAGUUCAUUCGGCCGAAGCUGCGCCGUCGCGAGUUGAGAGUUGGCGGGCGGGAGUUGCUGAAAGAGUUUGAAAGUAGAUGUUCUUGAUCAGGUUCGUCGGAUAUCGCUCCAACCUCUGGAAGUAAUCCGAGUAUGACAGCUUCAGGACCUGCGGCUUUCGUACAGACGGUUCUUCCAGAACUGGUGCAAACUGUUCUUCCGGAUGUUUAUGUAAUACUCGUCAAACAUGUCCCGCACCGAGAAAUGGACUGCGGACCCUCAGAACAUCCCACACUGUCCCGUCAUCACUUCCGGCACAUAAUGCUGCUGAUGGUCGUAAACCGCCGGCACCGAGUGCAACAUCCGCGCUGACCACCUCCGAUCGCUUCUCGUCGUUUCCCUCUUCCGUCGGAUCCUUCUCCUCACUGUAGAGUCGCAACCGGGACUCCUUGAGACACGACGUUCCGGAUGCAGCACCAUCGCUGCCGAUCAUUAACCUCCCAACCACCCACUGACCUCAUGUCCGCUUCCGUCGUGUCCUGCUCCGGAUUCCGCCAACCGGUUCCUGCACAAUUCAAUCACACUCACACUUCCGCGCCAAUCGUUCACUCUCCACUGUUCACAGCGUAAACAUAAACACGCGCCUCUUUUCAUGCGCUGUCAAAAACCAAGUACACGCUUCAGUAAGGGAUAGUCUGUUUUGGGUUAUUAUUACCCGGUCAAUAUAUUUAUAUUGUUUACAUUAUUUUGAAGGACGAAAACCCUACAUCCCCAUCUUCCUUUAAAUAAAACAUUUGUUGGAUUUGAAUUCACUCUCAUUGACAAUUUCAAAUAUUUAAUCUCUUCAUCACUUGCUUCAAUAAUUUAUCAUUAGUUAAACUUGAGUUAAACUAAACAAAACCACAGCAAAAUACACAUCCGUUUCAACCAGUUAUCUAGCGAUCCCAAACUUAUUUACCGCUUAGUAAACAAGUUUGAUAAUUCAACAUUCAAGGCAAAACAAAUCAACGUCCUUAUCAACUGCCACAAUUACUUGCCGGAAUGCAACUAUUUAUUUUCAAAACAAAUUAGAAUUCAAAUCGUCUUCAGUUAUUUCCUACACAAGUGAAAAUAAACAUAUUUUUUUUAAGUAACACUCAAUCUCCCUCAACACAUUUGAAACAGUGAUGUUCAUUAGUUCACCAGCUAUGUUCUUCAUCCGCUCUCCCACUUCACCUUUUGAAUAAUUUUGAAAACAGUUAGUAUACUUCACUGAUCCUCAAACCAUUCGUAUGACCAAUAUGCAAUAUUAAUAAAUACAUUCUCACGAUUUCUCUACACUUCAAGCUAUCAAAACAUUAAAUUACGUUCUAUCCCGAUUUUUUUUAGUCAAUGCUCCAAUUUCUUCAUGAGAAUAAUUCUGAGAAUUUUGAACCCAAUAUAAGAUGUCACACAAGACACACAGAUUUAUCUGUUUAAGCUGCAAUGGAUUUAAGUCAUCAUAUUACAUAUAUAACAUACCAAUGGAAUGUGCUAAACAUCCUACUUUAUUUGAAUUGCUUUAAAAUAAAAUAUCUAUUUUUUUAUCGAUCCCGGAGUUAAUUCAAAAAUUUUACAAAAAAAAAAAAAUAAAUCAUUAAUUUAUUAUCAACACAACAAACCCUGAAAACCAUUUUUAAAAUUUUACUAGCGCAUUUACCAAAAAUUGCAUUAGUAGUUAGACUGUUCUUUUAUUCUUUAUCAUUUCAUAACUACAUUGAAUUCAACAACUCAUAUUUUAUGUAUAUCUCAUUUGGGCCAUGUUUUCAUCUUUUCUCUGUUUUGAAAUUCUGGUCAAUCACUUUGAUAUGAAAUCUCAACAUUUAUUAUCUGAAUAAAUUUCAAAAUCGUACAUAUUCAUACAGUUUGAUUAUUUUCAGUUCAAAUAACUAGCUAGAUCACUUUUGUUAUCACUCAUAAACUUACGACCAUUGGAUUGAAAAUUUAGUCGAUAACUCAUUCCGUACCGAAGAAGAGAACUUUACUGU
Molecule: long non-coding RNA, 2036 nt
Organism: Culex pipiens pallens (northern house mosquito)
Lineage: Eukaryota; Metazoa; Arthropoda; Insecta; Diptera; Culicidae
Exons: 2
Source: RefSeq, a predicted model, not a curated record